This 492-nucleotide ribosomal RNA is filed under the name uncultured bacterium. RNAcentral's name for it is "partial 16S ribosomal RNA". It matches the Rfam family "Bacterial small subunit ribosomal RNA", at positions 29 to 507 of the family's 1533-position model. The record is from RNAcentral.
AGUGAACGCUGGCGGUAGGCCUAACACAUGCAAGUCGAACGGCAGCACAGUAAGAGCUUGCUCUUACGGGUGGCGAGUGGCGGACGGGUGAGGAAUACAUCGGAAUCUACUUUUUCGUGGGGGAUAACGUAGGGAAACUUACGCUAAUACCGCAUACGACCUACGGGUGAAAGCAGGGGAUCUUCGGACCUUGCGCGAUUGAAUGAGCCGAUGUCGGAUUAGCUAGUUGGCGGGGUAAAGGCCCACCAAGGCGACGAUCCGUAGCUGGUCUGAGAGGAUGAUCAGCCACACUGGAACUGAGACACGGUCCAGACUCCUACGGGAGGCAGCAGUGGGGGAUAUUGGACAAUGGGCGCAAGCCUGAUCCGGCCAUACCGCGUGGGUGAAGAAGGCCUUCGGGUUGUAAAGCCCUUUUGUUGGGAAAGAAAAGCAGCAGGUUAAUACCCCGCUGUUCUGACGGUACCCAAAGAAUAAGCACCGGCUAACUUCGUG